UACGAAGGGGGCUAGCGUUGCUCGGAAUCACUGGGCGUAAAGCGCACGUAGGCGGCUUUCUAAGUCAGGGGUGAAAUCCUGGAGCUCAACUCCAGAACUGCCUUUGAUACUGGAGAGCUUGAGUCCGGGAGAGGUGAGUGGAACUCCGAGUGUAGAGGUGAAAUUCGUAGAUAUUCGGAAGAACACCAGUGGCGAAGGCGGCUCACUGGCCCGGUACUGACGCUGAGGUGCGAAAGCCAGGGGAGCAAAGCGGG
RNAcentral lists this ribosomal RNA (254 nucleotides) under uncultured bacterium. RNAcentral's name for it is "partial 16S ribosomal RNA". It matches the Rfam family "Bacterial small subunit ribosomal RNA", at positions 524 to 777 of the family's 1533-position model. The record is from RNAcentral.